GCUCAGAGCGAACGCUGGCGGCAGGCUUAACACAUGCAAGUCGAGCGGGCGUAGCAAUACGUCAGCGGCAGACGGGUGAGUAACGCGUGGGAACGUACCUUUUGGUUCGGAAUAGCUCAGGGAAACUUGGAUUAAUACCGAAUAAGCCCUUACGGGGAAAGAUUUAUCGCCGAAAGAUCGGCCCGCGUCUGAUUAGCUAGUUGGUGAGGUAACGGCUCACCAAGGCGACGAUCAGUAGCUGGUCUGAGAGGAUGAUCAGCCACAUUGGGACUGAGACACGGCCCAAACUCCUACGGGAGGCAGCAGUGGGGAAUAUUGGACAAUGGGCGCAAGCCUGAUCCAGCCAUGCCGCGUGAGUGAUGAAGGCCCUAGGGUUGUAAAGCUCUUUUGUGCGGGAAGAUAAUGACGGUACCGCAAGAAUAAGCCCCGGCUAACUUCGUGCCAGCAGCCGCGGUAAUACGAAGGGGGCUAGCGUUGCUCGGAAUCACUGGGCGUAAAGGGUGCGUAGGCGGGUCUUUAAGUCAGGGGUGAAAUCCUGGAGCUCAACUCCAGAACUGCCUUUGAUACUGAGGAUCUUGAGUUCGGGAGAGGUGAGUGGAACUGCGAGUGUAGAGGUGAAAUUCGUAGAUAUUCGCAAGAACACCAGUGGCGAAGGCGGCUCACUGGCCCGAUA
Molecule: ribosomal RNA, 673 nt
Filed under: Bradyrhizobium sp. L2131
Lineage: Bacteria; Pseudomonadati; Pseudomonadota; Alphaproteobacteria; Hyphomicrobiales; Nitrobacteraceae
Description: bacterial SSU rRNA
Rfam family: Bacterial small subunit ribosomal RNA
Source: RNAcentral